UGGGGAAUUUUGCGCAAUGGGCGAAAGCCUGACGCAGCAACGCCGCGUGUGUGAUGAAGGUCUUCGGAUUGUAAAGCACUUUCGACCGGGACGAAACCGCGAGGUUCAAUACACCUCGUCUUGACGGUACCGGGAGAAGAAGCACCGGCUAACUCUGUGCCAGCAGCCGCGGUAAUACAGAGGGUGCAAGCGUUGUUCGGAAUUAUUGGGCGUAAAGCGCGUGUAGGCGGCAUUGCAAGUCGGGUGUGAAAGCCCUCAGCUCAACUGAGGAAGUGCGCCCGAAACUGCAGUGCUUGAGUGCCGGAGAGGGUGGCGGAAUUCCCCAAGUAGAGGUGAAAUUCGUAGAUAUGGGGAGGAACACCGGUGGCGAAGGCGGCCACCUGGACGGUAACUGACGCUGAGACGCGAAAGCGUGGGUAGCAAACAG
RNAcentral lists this ribosomal RNA (427 nucleotides) under uncultured bacterium. RNAcentral describes it as "bacterial SSU rRNA". It matches the Rfam family "Bacterial small subunit ribosomal RNA", at positions 355 to 775 of the family's 1533-position model. The record is from RNAcentral.